CCUGUUUCUCCUUCCUCCUGUUAGCCUUCUACAUCCAUGUCCUUGGAGAUUAACUUUACAGGUUUUUUUUUUAAAAAAAACAGAGCCUUCAGUGGGCCUGUGGCCAACAGCAGGAAGCAGGUGGUUCCGCGGGGACCCGGCAGCCCCGCAGCUGAGGAGAAAGGGGCACCUCCUCAGCUGUGCAGGGACCCCGGUUUCCUACGGGGGAGAUCGCCCUUCCCCACUGCUGUCGGAAGUUCGCGUGUGCCUGGGAGACAGUGGAAAGGCCCCGCACAGGCGCCCCGUUCAUCAGUGAGGUGCCUUUCAUGCAAACCUGCCCUCUCUGCCGUUUAUUCGGAGGAGCUUCACCCCUCGAGCAGGUCUUCUCUGAUGCUGGCCUGACGAUGGUUCGGGCCGGGGAUUGCCCUGGGGGUGGAGGCUCUCCCUCGCCGGCCCCUCCCCCUGGCCUGCCCUCCCAGCCUGGCCCGGCGGCAGCAGGGAUCCCGAGGAGCGCCCCCCACUCCCGCACCUCGAGUCCUGAAAUGUGCUCAGCUUGCUGCAUGUCCGUUUCACCUCAGAAAAGCUGUCGGGAGACCUCCUUGUGUCCUUGGGGCGAAGGUACAACCUGCGGCUGCCUACGAUGCAUUUAAAAAAAAUCCUGUCUGGGAGCUUCCCUGAAAGAAUCCACCUGCCCGUGCAGGAGACAUGAGUUGGAUCCCUGGUUCAUGGAGCAACUCAGCUCAUGUGCCAAAGCCACUGAGCCCACAGACGGCAGAGCCCGUGCUCCGCAGCAAGAGAAGCCGCUGCAGCGAGCAGCCGGGCACCACAAGAGGAGGACCCUGCUCCCCGCAACCAGAGGAAAGCCUGGGCAGCAACAAAGACUCAGCACGGC
Bos taurus (domestic cattle) is the source of this 871-nucleotide long non-coding RNA. NCBI's taxonomy places the organism in Eukaryota, Metazoa, Chordata, Mammalia, Artiodactyla, Bovidae. The record is from Ensembl.